RNAcentral lists this ribosomal RNA (301 nucleotides) under uncultured bacterium. RNAcentral's name for it is "partial 16S ribosomal RNA". It matches the Rfam family "Bacterial small subunit ribosomal RNA", at positions 509 to 807 of the family's 1533-position model. The record is from RNAcentral.
CAGCAGCCGCGGGAAUACGAAGGGUGCAAGCGUUACUCGGAAUUACUGGGCGUAAAGCGUGCGUAGGUGGUGGUUUAAGUCCGUUGUGGAAGCCCUGGGCUCAACCUGGGAAUCGCAGUGGAUACUGGGUCACUAGAGUGUGGUAGAGGAUAGUGGAAUUUCCGGUGUAGCAGUGAAAUGCGUAGAGAUCGGAAGGAACAUCUGUGGCGAAGGCGACUAUCUGGGCCAACACUGACACUGAGGCACGAAAGCGUGGGGAGCAAACAGGAUUAGAUACCCCAGUAGUCCCUGUCUCUUAUAC